AUUGAACGCUGGCGGAAUGCUUUACACAUGCAAGUCGAGCGGCAGCGCGGGGCAACCUGGCGGCGAGCGGCGAACGGGUGAGUAAUACAUCGGAACGUGCCCAGACGUGGGGGAUAACUACUCGAAAGAGUGGCUAAUACCGCAUACGAUCUACGGAUGAAAGCGGGGGAUCGCAAGACCUCGCGCGUCUGGAGCGGCUGAUGGCAGAUUAGGUAGUUGGUGGGAUAAAAGCCUACCAAGCCAACGAUCUGUAGCUGGUCUGAGAGGAUGAUCAGCCACACUGGGACUGAGACACGGCCCAGACUCCUACGGGAGGCAGCAGUGGGGAAUUUUGGACAAUGGGCGAAAGCCUGAU
Molecule: ribosomal RNA, 355 nt
Filed under: uncultured bacterium
Lineage: Bacteria
Description: bacterial SSU rRNA
Rfam family: Bacterial small subunit ribosomal RNA
Source: RNAcentral